GCGCUCUUAAUUCAGUUUGGCAGAAUAUGGGUCUUAAAAACCCAAUGUCGUAGGUUCAAAUCCUACAGAGCGUA
This is a non-coding RNA of Erigeron canadensis, 74 nucleotides long. Lineage: Eukaryota; Viridiplantae; Streptophyta; Magnoliopsida; Asterales; Asteraceae. The record is from the annotation of a RefSeq genome assembly.